GCCAGGCAUGGUGGCGCAUGCCUGUAAUCCCAGCUAUUUGGGAGGCUGAGGCAGGAGAAUUGCUUGAACCCAGGAGGUAGAGGUUGCAGUGAGCCAAGAUCACGCCACUGCACACCAGCCUGGGUGACAGAGCAAGACUCCGUUUCAA
RNAcentral lists this non-coding RNA (148 nucleotides) under Nomascus leucogenys (northern white-cheeked gibbon). The record is from Rfam by way of RNAcentral. Lineage: Eukaryota; Metazoa; Chordata; Mammalia; Primates; Hylobatidae.